CAAUCUGAGAGUUUGAUCCUGGCUCAGAACGAACGCUGGCGGCAGGCCUAACACAUGCAAGUCGAACGCUGUAGCAAUACAGAGUGGCAGACGGGUGAGUAACACG
RNAcentral lists this ribosomal RNA (106 nucleotides) under Hyphomicrobiales bacterium. RNAcentral's name for it is "Rhizobiales bacterium (bioreactor metagenome) partial 16S ribosomal RNA". It matches the Rfam family "Bacterial small subunit ribosomal RNA", at positions 1 to 117 of the family's 1533-position model. Lineage: Bacteria; Pseudomonadati; Pseudomonadota; Alphaproteobacteria; Hyphomicrobiales. The record is from RNAcentral.